GCAGGCUUUAUUACACAGAUCAACAAGAGAGUUAUCAGCCUGUUUCUGCCUACGCCUCAACUCUUCAUCAUCAUCAUCAUCCUCCUCCUCUUCAUCUCCCCGUCCUCUUUUUAAAACCUCAGAGAGCCCAACACGCCCUUAACCCCUAAAUCACCUGCCCCCCUCCUGGGCCAGUGGUGGUGGGUGUGUGUGGGUGUGUGUGGGGGGGUCUGACCACAGCCUCCCUAUUCUAAAAUAAAUAGUCUACAAAAGAAAGCCGUUUCCCUUUCAGGGGGGGGGGGGGUCUGAAAAAAUGUACAAAGUCGUCUGAAAAUAAGUUGAAAUGUUACUUCAAACUAUUGUCUCUAUAUUUCCAUAAAAAAACGGCGGUACAAAAGCGGAGCGGAGCGGAGGAGAAAGAUCCGAGCAGAACCGAUGUCGGGGGACUGAGAACUAGUGUGUUAGCGGAGACCGCUAGUCUGAUGGCUAAGCAGUGUUUUAGUCGCGUUAAUGAGCUGGUGAAGCGGCACACACACACACACACUCUACGCUCUGAGGCGCAGUGCUGUGUUUCUCCAGCAGGGGGCCUUUAGCACACACACUCUUUGGUAAGCAGAAAAGUCACCCCAACCCAUGACAACAUGACUCUUACUGUUAAUCAUCGUUAAUGAGCCUAAUUUAUUAAUUAAGCUUUAAUUAAUAAUGAAUUAAACAAGCUUUAAUUAAUAAUGAAUUAAACAAGCUUAAUUAAUGAUGAAUUAAACAAGCUUAAUUAAUGAUCUUCCUUCACCACCUCUCCCAACACAGGGUCCAUCUUCAGGAGAGUCGCUCGCACUCAGAGACUUUUAAACACACAUUUAAAAACAACCUAAAACUAACAGAAGACAUUAACAUGAAACAUCAACAGUGCAAAACCACACACACACACACACACACACACACGCAAAAAAAACCACAUAGGUCUCUCUGUGGGGGCACUGUAAUUGUCCUCUUAAACCCCCUCCAGUGUGUGUGUGUGUGUGUGUGUGUGUGUGUGUGUGUGUGUGUGUGUGUGUGUGUGAGUGAGAGAGUGUGUGCACUGCUGGCUGCUUCUCCAACCAAGGCGGCCUCCACGCUGCCUCAAUGCAUUCUGGGAGGAGGCGAUAGCGCCGAGCGCAGCUUCACCGUCUGCGCUAAUGCACACUCAAGUCACACUUGUUCAGUUGUGUGUGUGUGUGUGUGUGUGUGUGUGUGUGUGUGUGUGUGUGUGUGUCUCCCGCUGCAGCAGGCCUAACUGGCCUCGUCGCCCCCCCCUAUUGUCAGGUUCUCACACCACGCCAGUCAGUCGCCGGUUCCUUUACGGAACGAGUCAAAACAGAGAAACAGGAAGAGAAAACAAACGGAUCAAACGCCAGGAUGACAGACUAAAGAAGUCAAACGCCGAACGCCAGGAUGACAGACUAAAGAAGUCAAACGCCGAACGCCAGGAUGACAGACUAAAGAAGUCAAACGCCGAACGCCAGGAUGACAGACUAAAAGAAGUCUGCUGUCAAACACAGGAGAGAAGAAAAAUGAAAAGAAAUGAGAUGAUUUAGUGUUCUGUCUGUUUGGACCGGGUGCUGGUCCACUGGAGGUCAGAGGUCUCCACAGAACCCCAGAACCGCUGGGCGUCAGGGACUCAGGACCACCCCUCAUAAAAUCCUGGAGUGGAACCGGUCCACUCACGGGCCGUCCCUGUAGCCAUGGAGACGCCCACCCCACUGUCCAUUCCCUGUAGCCAUGGAGAUGCCCACCCCACUGUCCAUUCCCUGUAGCCAUGGAAACGCCCACCCCACUG
Clupea harengus (Atlantic herring) is the source of this 1795-nucleotide long non-coding RNA. The record is from Ensembl. Lineage: Eukaryota; Metazoa; Chordata; Actinopteri; Clupeiformes; Clupeidae.